AGCCUUCUUGAGAGCCUUGACCCCCUUGGCCACCUUCAGGCGCUUGGGCUUCACCCCGGAGGCGAUCUUAUAGUAGUUCAUCAUCGCCAGCACCCACUUGAACAUGCCCGCGGCGGGCUUGGAUACCGACUUGAUCUCCUCCAGGGUGAACUUCUUGUCCUUCAUGUACCCCUUGAUCAUCUUGAUUUGGUCCUUGGUGAUGCCGUCCUUCUCAAACUCCUUCAGGGAUUUGAUAAAGUUGAAGUCUGUCAUCAUGGCCUGCGCACCCUUCCAGCCGAUCUCCUCCUCGGGGACAGCCUUCAGGAUUUGCACACACUCCAGAACCUUCACGAUGACCUCGGCAGGGUUCGCGUAGGACUUGAGGUUGGUGAUGUCGUCCUUGUUGAUGUUCUUCAGCGCCUCCGCCGCCUCUUCGAGCGCAGGAAUAGCCGCCGCAAGGUCUGCCUCAGCCUCCUCCUUCUCCCUGGCGAUGCGCACGCUGUCCUCGGCGAGUUGCGUCUCCUUCGUCGCG
Molecule: long non-coding RNA, 511 nt
Filed under: Micromonas commoda
Lineage: Eukaryota; Viridiplantae; Chlorophyta; Mamiellophyceae; Mamiellales; Mamiellaceae
Description: long non-coding RNA (MCOM_LNC000151)
Source: RNAcentral